GUUUUUAUAGCUUAUAUAGAGCGUAGCACUGAAGAUGCUAAUGAAAUCCUAGGAUUUAAAAACA
Molecule: transfer RNA, 64 nt
Filed under: Lepidurus arcticus
Lineage: Eukaryota; Metazoa; Arthropoda; Branchiopoda; Notostraca; Triopsidae
Description: tRNA-Phe
Source: RNAcentral